CCCCAGUAGCGGCGAGCGAACGGGGAGCAGCCCAGAGUCUGAAUCAGCUUGUGUGUUAGUGGAACGGUCUGGAAAGUCCGACGGUACAGGGUGAUAGUCCCGUACACCAAAAUGCACAGGCUGUGAACUCGAAGAGUAGGGCGGGACACGUGGUAUCCUGUCUGAAUAUGGGGGGACCAUCCUCCAAGGCUAAAUACUCCUGACUGACCGAUAGUGAACCAGUACCGUGAGGGAAAGGCGAAAAGAACCCCGGCGAGGGGAGUGAAAAAGAACCUGAAACCGUGUACGUACAAGCAGUGGGAGCACCUUCGGGUGUGACUGCGUACCUUUUGUAUAAUGGGUCAGCGACUUAUAUUCUGUAGCAAGGUUAACCGUAUAGGGGAGCCGCAGGGAAACCGAGUCUUAACUGGGCGUUAAGUUGCAGGGUAUAGACCCGAAACCCGGUGAUCUAGCCAUGGGCAGGUUGAAGGUUGGGUAACACUAACUGGAGGACCGAACCGACUAAUGUUGAAAAAUUAGCGGAUGACUUGUGGCUGGGGGUGAAAGGCCAAUCAAACCGGGAGAUAGCUGGUUCUCCCCGAAAGCUAUUUAGGUAGCGCCUCGUGAAUUCAUCUUCGGGGGUAGAGCACUGUUUCGGCUAGGGGGUCAUCCCGACUUACCAACCCGAUGCAAACUACGAAUACCGAAGAAUGUUAUCACGGGAGACACACGGCGGGUGCUAACGUCCGUCGUGAAGAGGGAAACAACCCAGACCGCCAGCUAAGGUCCCAAAGUCAUGGUUAAGUGGGAAACGAUGUGGGAAGGCACAGACAGCCAGGAUGUUGGCUUAGAAGCAGCCAUCAUUUAAAGAAAGCGUAAUAGCUCACUGGUCGAGUCGGCCUGCGCGGAAGAUGUAACGGGGCUAAACCAUGCACCGAAGCUGCGGCAGCGACACUAUGUGUUGUUGGGUAGGGGAGCGUUCUGUAAGCCUGCGAAGGUGACCUGUGAGGGUUGCUGGAGGUAUCAGAAGUGCGAAUGCUGACAUAAGUAACGAUAAAGCGGGUGAAAAGCCCGCUCGCCGGAAGACCAAGGGUUCCUGUCCAACGUUAAUCGGGGCAGGGUGAGUCGACCCCUAAGGCGAGGCCGAAAGGCGUAGUCGAUGGGAAACAGGUUAAUAUUCCUGUACUUGGUGUUACUGCGAAGGGGGGACGGAGAAGGCUAUGUUAGCCGGGCGACGGUUGUCCCGGUUUAAGCAUGUAGGCUGGUUAUCCAGGCAAAUCCGGAUAAUCAAGGCUGAGGUGUGAUGACGAGGCACUACGGUGCUGAAGUAACAAAUGCCCUGCUUCCAGGAAAAGCCUCUAAGCAUCAGGUAACAUCAAAUCGUACCCCAAACCGACACAGGUGGUCAGGUAGAGAAUACCAAGGCGCUUGAGAGAACUCGGGUGAAGGAACUAGGCAAAAUGGUGCCGUAACUUCGGGAGAAGGCACGCUGGUGUGUAGGUGAAGUCCCUGCGGAUGGAGCUGAGACCAGUCGAAGAUACCAGCUGGCUGCAACUGUUUAUUAAAAACACAGCACUGUGCAAACACGAAAGUGGACGUAUACGGUGUGACGCCUGCCCGGUGCCGGAAGGUUAAUUGAUGGGGUUAUCCGUAAGGAGAAGCUCUUGAUCGAAGCCCCGGUAAACGGCGGCCGUAACUAUAACGGUCCUAAGGUAGCGAAAUUCCUUGUCGGGUAAGUUCCGACCUGCACGAAUGGCGUAAUGAUGGCCAGGCUGUCUCCACCCGAGACUCAGUGAAAUUGAACUCGCUGUGAAGAUGCAGUGUACCCGCGGCAAGACGGAAAGACCCCGUGAACCUUUACUAUAGCUUGACACUGAACAUUGAGCCUUGAUGUGUAGGAUAGGUGGGAGGCUUUGAAGCGUGGACGCCAGUCUGCGUGGAGCCAACCUUGAAAUACCACCCUUUAAUGUUUGAUGUUCUAACGUUGGCCCCUUACCGGGGUUGCGGACAGUGUCUGGUGGGUAGUUUGACUGGGGCGGUCUCCUCCCAAAGCGUAACGGAGGAGCACGAAGGUUAGCUAAUCCUGGUCGGACAUCAGGAGGUUAGUGCAAUGGCAUAAGCUAGCUUGACUGCGAGCGUGACGGCGCGAGCAGGUGCGAAAGCAGGUCAUAGUGAUCCGGUGGUUCUGAAUGGAAGGGCCAUCGCUCAACGGAUAAAAGGUACUCCGGGGAUAACAGGCUGAUACCGCCCAAGAGUUCAUAUCGACGGCGGUGUUUGGCACCUCGAUGUCGGCUCAUCACAUCCUGGGGCUGAAGUAGGUCCCAAGGGUAUGGCUGUUCGCCAUUUAAAGUGGUACGCGAGCUGGGUUUAGAACGUCGUGAGACAGUUCGGUCCCUAUCUGCCGUGGGCGCUGGAGAAUUGAGGGGGGCUGCUCCUAGUACGAGAGGACCGGAGUGGACGCAUCACUGGUGUUCGGGUUGUCAUGCCAAUGGCACUGCCCGGUAGCUAAAUGCGGAAGAGAUAAGUGCUGAAAGCAUCUAAGCACGAAACUUGCCCCGAGAUGAGUUCUCCCUGAGACUUUAAGUCUCCUGAAGGAACGUUAAAGACGAUGACGUUGAUAGGCCGGGUGUGUAAGCGCAGCGAUGCGUUGAGCUAACCGGUACUAAUGAACCGUGAGGCUUAACCUU
Molecule: ribosomal RNA, 2666 nt
Filed under: Klebsiella pneumoniae
Lineage: Bacteria; Pseudomonadati; Pseudomonadota; Gammaproteobacteria; Enterobacterales; Enterobacteriaceae
Description: bacterial LSU rRNA
Rfam family: Bacterial large subunit ribosomal RNA
Source: RNAcentral